RNAcentral lists this ribosomal RNA (1094 nucleotides) under uncultured Alphaproteobacteria bacterium. RNAcentral describes it as "bacterial SSU rRNA". It matches the Rfam family "Bacterial small subunit ribosomal RNA", at positions 56 to 1212 of the family's 1533-position model. Lineage: Bacteria; Pseudomonadati; Pseudomonadota; Alphaproteobacteria. The record is from RNAcentral.
UGCAAGUCGAACGAGAUCUUCGGAUCUAGUGGCGCACGGGUGAGUAACACGUGGGAACCUGCCUUUAGGUACGGAAUAACGUCUGGAAACGGACGCUAAUACCGUAUAUUUCCUCCGGGAAAAAGGUCCGCCGCCUAAAGAGGGGCCCGCGUCAGAUUAGCUUGUUGGUGGGGUAAUGGCUUACCAAGGCUACGAUCUGUAGUUGGUCUGAGAGGAUGAUCAGCCACACUGGGACUGAGACACGGCCCAGACUCCUACGGGAGGCAGCAGUGGGGAAUAUUGGACAAUGGGGGCAACCCUGAUCCAGCAAUGCCGCGUGUGUGAUGAAGGCCCUAGGGUUGUAAAGCACUUUCAACGGUGACGAUGAUGACGGUAACCGUAGAAGAAGCCCCGGCUAACUUCGUGCCAGCAGCCGCGGUAAUACGAAGGGGGCGAGCGUUGUUCGGAAUUACUGGGCGUAAAGGGCGCGUAGGCGGUCUAUCCAGUUGGGCGUGAAAGCCCUGGGCUCAACCCAGGAAUUGCGUCCAAUACUAAUAGACUAGAGACCGAGAGAGGAUAGUGGAAUUUCCAGUGUAGAGGUGAAAUUCGUAGAUAUUGGAAAGAACACCAGUGGCGAAAGCGACUAUCUGGCUCGGUUCUGACGCUGAGGCGCGAAAGCGUGGGGAGCAAACAGGAUUAGAUACCCUGGUAGUCCACGCCGUAAACGAUGUCUGCUAGGUGUCGGGAGGUAACCUUUCGGUGCCGCAGCUAACGCAUUAAGCAGACCGCCUGGGAAGUACGGCCGCAAGGCUAAAACUCAAAGGAAUUGACGGGGGCCCGCGCAAGCGGUGGAGCAUGUGGUUUAAUUCGAGGCAACGCGAAGACCUUACCAGCUCUUGACAUGGGUAGUAUGGAUUUUGGAGACAUUUCCUUCAGUUCGGCUGGCUACCACACAGUUGCUGCAUGGCUGUCGUCAGCUCGUGUCGUGAGAUGUUGGGUUAGUCCCGCACGAGCGCAACCUCAUCUUCAGUUGCUACGCUAGGCGAGCACUUUGAGAACUGCUGGAUGACUAGAGUAGGCGAGAUGACGUCAGUCUCAUGGCCAUUAUGGCCUAG